GCGCGCAUCCAGUCCCUUAUGAAGAAUUUUAAUUUCUUGCAAGAGUGGGUGCUUCAGGGUACUGAGCUGAGAAGGCAGGGGCUCUAUUUAUAGCUGGUGUUCGAGCCUUUGUGGGUUUUGUGAGUAUGCGAGAGAUGUACAGCUGUGCCACGCGGGCUCUGCUGAGCUGAAAACUCUUCAUGGCAGUAAGAAUAGGGGAUGGCUUUGGUUAUUUAACUGCUCAGUUGGAAUAAAGCAGCUGACGUCUACUGAGAUGCUGCAGGCUCCGGCCUGCUCUGUGCACGUCUGUCCCUGCGAGGUGUCUCAGGUAAACCUACUGAGAGCAGCACUUCAAGAAACCUGAAGAGGAGAAACAUCGAGGUGGACAGGUCUCCAACACCAUCUGUGCUCACACCUCCCUCGUGCCACAGUCACGCAGAGGCGAACACCACCGAGGAAUAUUUAUUUUCUAGAGGGGAAACAGUCCGAGCAGAAAACCCAGACUACUCUGACUAUUCCUUCCUGGUAAGAGGUAAGAUUUCUUAAGUGUAAAGGUAAAUACUAACCCUAAGUCUCGCUCUCACCUCUCACUUUCUAAUGUGGAGGUGCUCAAAAUCUAUUGGAGAUCCCCACAUAACUGGAGUUUUCCUUUAAGGAAAAACCUUUUCCUUUCCACUGAUGCUUUUCCUUUGCAUCAGUGCAAAGACCUUUUCCGUUAUAGUACGGAAUUGCUCAGAAUAAUCUGUAGAGAAGAAAAAAUUUUGCUGAAAUAAGUUGGGAUGUUGCUUAUUUUCAGGGAAUUAGUGUGAAAUGAGGACUGUCUCUUAAAUUUCUGCUGGAUCAUGUCUUCCUUCAAUUUUGUUUAACAAAAAUUAAUAUGGUAUUUUAAAUUUCACCUUGCUGUUGCAUGUAAGCCACUGCUCUGCCAGCGAGUCAAAUAAGGAAAAGUCUUAAAAGUAAUUCACUUUCAGAAAUAUGCACUUGUUACUUUUUAGAUAUUGAUAUUUUCAACUCCCAGUUUCAUGCUUAUCUGAAGAAAUG
RNAcentral lists this long non-coding RNA (1020 nucleotides) under Anser cygnoides (Swan goose). RNAcentral's name for it is "lncRNA (ENSACDG00005002150.1)". Lineage: Eukaryota; Metazoa; Chordata; Aves; Anseriformes; Anatidae. The record is from RNAcentral.